This 1241-nucleotide long non-coding RNA is filed under the name Equus caballus (horse). RNAcentral describes it as "lncRNA (ENSECAG00000048108.1)". Lineage: Eukaryota; Metazoa; Chordata; Mammalia; Perissodactyla; Equidae. The record is from RNAcentral.
CUUUUGAGUACAUCAGCACCACCCAGAUAAUCCAGGAUAAUCUCCUCAUCUCAAGAUCCUUGACUUGACCACAUCUGCAAGGUCCCUUUUGCUUCAUAAGGUCACACAUCCACUGGGGCAGGGGUUAGGACAUGGACACCUUUGGGGGCCAUUAUUUAGAUUCUCCUUAGCCUUUCCUCAGUGUUUGGCUCACCAAAGAAGCCAACAUCAGGUCAGGUCUGAAAACAUCAUCUGAACAAGCACAACAGGGCUCAUCCUUGGUCAGGGUUUAACUUCCAUUCUUAUCACAGACCCAUCUUCUUCAGGCUCUCUGUCAGAGUUGGCAUUCAUUGUUUUUUUGUUUUUAAUUGGGAUAUAAUUCACAUACAACAAUGUACUGGUUUUAGAUGUACAACAUGAUAAUUUGAUACAAUGAUCACCACAAUAAGUUUAGUUAACAUCCGUCACCUCACAUAGCUACAGUUUUUUUUUCUUUUUAAUUUUCAUUUUUGAAAAAUACUUUUCAAAUGCACAUAGUAAUAUUGCGAAAAAUUCAUACAGAUACAUAUGUAUGUAUAUAUUCAUAUGUAUAUUUAAAUAUAAAAUACCUCAGUAAAUAGCUUCUAUUCGGAUCAUUAAAAAUAUGACUCAGAACAAAAAAGUGUUCCACGUCUUAGUAGUGUUUAGCUAAUACAAUUUCUAUAACUUCAAAAAAAAUUAAAACAAUAAAAAUGUUAAAUAGAUACAUAUUGACAGUUGAAACAGUACCAUUGGUGGCUUUGCCUCCAAACAAUGACUUAGGGAGGAAAAAGUGCACUCGGUACUCAUAUAUGGGUCAUUACAUUUAUUGUGAAAAUACGUUUAUUAAGGUCUGUGAAUUAAUGAAAUUGAAAACAGAGUAAGAUUACCAAACAUCAACAUUUCUUAAUAGCUAGUGUUUGUCUAAGCAACAUAAAAUGACUUUACUACAUGUUGGUCACAGCUUUUAUAAGAACUUCUCUUCCAACAGCUUUUAUUGCCUUUGGUUUUGGACCAUCAAUUAAAGGUCAUAUCAUUUUUGACAACUUAUUUGAGGAGUGUUACAGUGGUUCUAAGCACUUUAAAACGUCCUCUACAUUUAUUUAUGUGUCAAGUGAUUUAAAACCUCAUGAGAGAUCCUGAAUUAGAAUCACCCAUUAAGCUGCUCCAGAAUUUCUGACCCUACAGAAGUCAUAAGGCAAACGAUGUUUUAUUUUGUCAUUUUAGACACUGAGUUUUGAGAU